Molecule: ribosomal RNA, 472 nt
Filed under: Robertmurraya beringensis
Lineage: Bacteria; Bacillati; Bacillota; Bacilli; Caryophanales; Bacillaceae
Description: bacterial SSU rRNA
Rfam family: Bacterial small subunit ribosomal RNA
Source: RNAcentral
CUUGGGGGAACUUUGCUCCGAAGUUAGCGGCGGACGGGUGAGUAACACGUGGGCAACCUGCCUAUAAGACUGGGAUAACUUCGGGAAACCGGAGCUAAUACCGGAUAAUCCUUUUCUACACAUGUAGAAAAGCUGAAAGAUGGUUUCGGCUAUCACUUAUAGAUGGGCCCGCGGCGCAUUAGCUAGUUGGUGAGGUAACGGCUCACCAAGGCAACGAUGCGUAGCCGACCUGAGAGGGUGAUCGGCCACACUGGGACUGAGACACGGCCCAGACUCCUACGGGAGGCAGCAGUAGGGAAUCUUCCGCAAUGGACGAAAGUCUGACGGAGCAACGCCGCGUGAGUGAUGAAGGUUUUCGGAUCGUAAAACUCUGUUGUUAGGGAAGAACAAGUAUCGGAGUAACUGCCGGUACCUUGACGGUACCUAACCAGAAAGCCACGGCUAACUACGUGCCAGCAGCCGGCGGUAAUUA